Molecule: ribosomal RNA, 789 nt
Filed under: uncultured Methanomicrobiales archaeon
Lineage: Archaea; Methanobacteriati; Methanobacteriota; Methanomicrobia; Methanomicrobiales
Description: bacterial SSU rRNA
Rfam family: Archaeal small subunit ribosomal RNA
Source: RNAcentral
ACUGCUCAGUAACACGUGGACAACNUACCCUGUGGAGGGGGAUAACCCCGGAAAACUGGGGAUAAUACCCCAUAGGUUAGGGUGGCUGGAAUGCCCCCUAGCUCAAAGGUCCGCCGCCACAGGAUGGGUCUGCGGCCGAUUAGGUUGUUGUUGGGGUAACGGCCCAACAAGCCUUUGAUCGGUACGGGUUGUGGGAGCAAGAGCCCGGAGAUGGAUUCUGAGACACGAAUCCAGGCCCUACGGGGCGCAGCAGGCGCGAAAACUUUACAAUGCGAGAAAUCGUGAUAAGGGAACCCCGAGUGCCCGUAAAUUCGGGCUGUCCGCCAGUGCAAAAAACUGGUGAAGAAAGAGCCGGGCAAGACCGGUGCCAGCCGCCGCGGUAAUACCGGCGGCUCGAGUGGUGGCCACUAUUACUGGGCUUAAAGCGUCCGUAGCUUGGUUGUUAAGUCUCCUGGGAAAUCCAUCGGCUCAACCGAUGGGCGUUCAGGAGAUACUGGCAACCUAGGGACCGGGAGAGGUGAGAGGUACUCCAGGGGUAGGAGUGAAAUCCUGUAAUCCUUGGGGGACCACCUGUGGCGAAGGCGUCUCACUAGAACGGCUCCGACAGUGAGGGACGAAAGCUGGGGGAGCAAACCGGAUUAGAUACCCGGGUAGUCCCAGCUGUAAACGAUGCGCGUUAGGUGUAUCGGUGACCACGAGUCACCGAGGUGCCGAAGGGAAACCGUGAAACGUGCCGCCUGGGAAGUACGGUCGCAAGGCUGAAACUUAAAGGAAUUGGCGGGGGAGCAC